AAAUAGUUGAUAAUGCGGAUUACAAGUAUAUAAGUAUGAAAUGUUAUAAUGGAAAUGAAGUUCAAGGAUAAAGGUAUGAAAAGUGUUUCAUUUGAACUUUGUGAAUACCUAGGAUACAAAUGACAUGUCAUUAGGGGUUAUACGGUUUCGGGUUUUGGUCUUGGAUGUCCUACUGAUGACGAGGUCUUGCAUUUGUUGCAGAUUCUCCACAGUCGUGUGAGCAGCAUUGUGUAGCUUAACAUCCCGACCCAUAGCUCGUGUGAGCAGACCUAUUUCAUAGCUCAUGUGAGCAUUACAGAUACGGUUACAGUUACAUAUACAGGCACACUUUGUGUAAGCAUGGUUCUCGUGUAUCCGACAUUGUUUCAUUUGGUUCAACAGGUAAUAAAGGUCUAAACAAGUAAAUUCAAUUUUAUGAAAUGUUAUGUGAACAUGAUAAGUGAAAUGGAAAGUGUUACCAUUUUUGCUUGUUUGGAAUGAACAAAUGGUACAUGUUGGAAAGGUGAUAAUGUAAUGUAAAUUACUAUGAUUCUAGUUUAUGUGCAUGAUAUAUAUAAAUCACAUGUUUCAUGUACGAAUUCACGAACUUACAAGUUUGGUGAUGUAAAUAGGAAUUGGAUAAAUUUAUGAGCAUGGUAAUGUAACACCCCUUACCCGUAUUCAACUCCGGAAUAGGGUAUGAGGCAUUACUAGAACACUUACACAUGUAAACGUAUUAAACUGAGUUACAAAAUUUCAUUCAAAUUUAAACUCUUCAAAUUUUUAACAUGCUUUUAUAAUUCUUUAUAACAUAUCCUCAAAAUAUUAUAUUCAUAACAAAUAGGGCCUACGAGACCCGAUACUUACUUAUGUAAUUCAAAGCUCCAUUUCCGUUUUAUUCAAUUCACAAUAUUUCGUGUUCACAAUUCAAAUUAAUUUCUCAAUCCAAUAUAUAUAUUUCAAUACCACACUCUCAUACUAUGAAACUUUAUUUUCCCAUAUGAGCUUAAACCAUGAUCAUCACAUAUCAAAGACAAAUGUUCUUGACAUUUCCAUCACAUAAACCGAAUUAAUCAAUGCAACUCAAUGAUAUAAUCAUCCAUAUAUCAUUAUUAUCAUAUAUAUAUAUCAAGACUAAAUUUCUUAUACAUUUGGUCAAUUGCUUUUCAAAACCGCAAUAGUUCCUUCGGUACCAAUACGUAUUUACCAUUCAAUUUAACAUUUACCGAUUAUAAUCGGGCAUAUGACCAUUAUACACAAUUAUUUCCUACAUUUUAUUGUCCUCCUCCUCCUCUCCAUUCCACAUCCUUUAUGUGUAUAUCACAUUUAAACAACAUUAACUAUAAUUUCUCUAUUCACUAACAUGUAUAUUCAAAGCUGUCUAUUCAAGACAUAGUCACUAAAUUAUUUUUACCCGGAGCUACAGAACUCCAAAUUAAGAUCCAUAAAUUUUAUCCGAAACUAGAUUCACAUAUAUUCUUACCAUAAAAUUUUCAUAAUUUUUGGUUUAGCCAAAUAGUAUAGUUUAUUCUUUAAAGUUUCCCCUAUUUCACUGUUUGACAGUUCUGACCUCUCUUCACUAAAAAUUAAUUAUCUCACUGUACAGAAUUCGGAUAUAGUUUCCGUUUGUUUCUCAUAAAAAUAGAUUCACUGAUAAUUCUAAACAUAUAAACUUUAUCCCAUAAUUAUUUUUUUACAAUUUUUUACAAUUUUCCAAAGUCAAAACAGGGGAUUCCAAACUCAUUCUAACUCUGUCUAAUUAAACUUCAAAUAUCUCAAAAUAUAUAACUAUUUUGCUUUUUCUAUUUCUUUUAUGUGAAAAUAGACUCAUUAAGCUUCAAUUUCAUAUAUUAUUCAGCCUCUAAUUAAAUUUCCACCAUUUUUGGUGAUUUUUCAACCUCACACAACUGUUGCUGUCUAACCCCCCUCUGUUGCUAAAUGUACUCUUUCAUAAUUUCACUUUUUCACUUUCAAUCACAAUUCAAUUCAAAAUUCACUUUUCCAUUUCUAAGUCGAUAUUCAAUUCAGUUCCACACCUAUAUUCAUUAUUCAAUUACACUUAGUCAAUUUCCCGUUGAACACUCAGAAUAUACAUAGAUACGUAGAGAAUUAGCACAUAAGUGCCACACUGAUAUGUAGCCGAAGCCACCACUGAUACGUAGCCGAAGCUACCACUGAUACGUAGCCGAAGCUACCACUGAUAUGUAGCCGAAGCUACCACUGAUNNNNNNNNNNNNNNNNNNNNNNNNNNNNNNNNNNNNNNNNNNNNNNNNNNNNNNNNNNNNNNNNNNNNNNNNNNNNNNNNNNNNNNNNNNNNNNNNNNNNAUUUAGUACUCACAUUUAUCAAACAGUCCUUGACUCAAACUUUGGUAAAAUUAUAAUUUUGCCCCUAAACUUUUACAUAUUUACACUUUUGCCCCAAAGCUCGUAAAUUAAACUUCAUCCCUUAUUCUUAUGUAUUAUGACAUGUUGAACAUUUUUCCCUUCUAUAGAAACAUCAAAUUCCAACUCUAACACUUACUUAUGAACAUUUAGUAUUUUUAUCGAUUAUGUCGUUUUACUCGUUUUCACUCAAAAUCGCUUAGCAAAAGUUGCUUAACAUAAUUCUAAGCUUCAUAUUCUAUCAUGAAACAUCAAAAUUCACACUUUUCAUCUAUGGGUAAUUUUUCAGACAUAAAUUCUAGCUCGAAUUAAUGGUAGAGAUAGCUUAAGCAAGUUAUCGGGAUGCGAAAAAUACAAAGAACAAGAAAAACGGGGCUAGAACGGACUUACCAUGAAGCUUGGAAGAUGAACAAACCCUAGCCAUGGUGUUCCCUUGCUAC
This 2801-nucleotide long non-coding RNA is filed under the name Gossypium raimondii (Peruvian cotton). Its description in RNAcentral is "long non-coding RNA (GRAI_LNC000836)". The record is from RNAcentral. Lineage: Eukaryota; Viridiplantae; Streptophyta; Magnoliopsida; Malvales; Malvaceae.